AUGUUCAUUACAAAAUGUACAAGAGGUUUAGGCCUUACAUUACGCACAAAGGAAAAAGGGGAUAAAUCUAAAGCUAAGCUCAUGCCAAACUUCCUUUCAAAUUGUUCAUGCUCUAAUCCUAAUCACUAUGACAAAGGCUCCAAAGAUCUUCAUGCUAAGUUCCACUUGCCAUUUCUUUUGCUCCGUUUUCAAGCUAUCUUUAUGACUGAACUCUACUCCAAUUCACUAUAUGUCUUCAUUAUCCCUCCAAGAGAUCCAACUCUUUCAAUCAUGUACCAUGAAACAUCAAUGCAGCCAUGA
Vicia faba (fava bean) is the source of this 300-nucleotide non-coding RNA. NCBI's taxonomy places the organism in Eukaryota, Viridiplantae, Streptophyta, Magnoliopsida, Fabales, Fabaceae. The record is from the annotation of a GenBank genome assembly.